AUAAACACUCCCAGCCCUUUUGUCACUGGGCUGCAGCACUACAAUCCCAGCAUGCAACGGGCUCAGGGAGAGUGCGCUAAUCAGUGGAGGAAGGGGCUAGGCUCUGCACGCCUGGCUGGUCUUGCUGGGAGAUGCAGUCUCAUAAACACUCCCAGCCCUUUGGUCACAGGACUGCAGCGCUACAAUCCUAGCAUGGACCGGGCUCAGGGAAAGUGUGCGUCACUGGAGGAAGAGGCAGGGUUGUGCGCGCCUCUCUAGGCUUGGUGGAAGAUGCGGUCUCAUAAACACUCCCAGAACUUUCAUCACUGGCCUGCAGGACUACAAUCCCAGCAUGCGCCCGGCUCAGGGACAGUGCGCAUUACUGGAGGAAAAGGCUAGGCUGUGGACACCUCCUUCUGCUUGCUAGGAGAUGUAGUUUCAUAAAGACUUCCAGAACUUUCAUCACAGGGCUGCAGGACUACCAUACCAGGAUCACAUUUGAAAUCAUAGGACUGAAAAUUAUGAAGAAGAAACCUUUGUCCUUGGACUUUCUGAAAUAUGUGAACCAAACCCCAAUGCCUGCACUUUUACUCUCACAGACUUCUGACAUGAGGCACAGAUUUUUACAAAACAGCUUAACAUGGAAGUCUCACAAAAUGUGCAGAUUUCCUCAGAUCCCAAAAACAAUGGAAAAGUACUCAGACCACAAGGCCUUCACAGGAAUAACAGAAAGAAGAGGAGAACUUUGGCUGUCACUGUGAAUGCCCUGGAAUGCUAGAGGAUGAACAGGAGAAGCCUUAGAAGACUGAAGAGCAUAAUAAGCAAGGGGAAUGCUAAAGGAAAUGGCAGAGUUAUGAGAAUGACAACUUAUGACUGCUGAGAAGAGAAGUUCCAUGCUUAUCACAGCCUCAGAGAAACAAACACUGCAAUCAACUGCGGAAGCAAAGGACUACCGUGUCUGGAAAACAAUGGGAAAAAAUAUCUUUACCUUAAAAAUACACACACAAGCCCACAGAAGACACAUUGAGGACCCUGUUAAUGAAGCACCAGGAUGUACAGCCUCGCUGAUUGUUGUAUUAUCUUGUAGUAAGAAAGUGUGUACA
This is a long non-coding RNA of Pan troglodytes (chimpanzee), 1082 nucleotides long. RefSeq lists it as uncharacterized. The record is from RefSeq and is a predicted model, not a curated record. Lineage: Eukaryota; Metazoa; Chordata; Mammalia; Primates; Hominidae. The transcript is spliced from 3 exons.